GCCAAUCAAACUCGGAUAUAGCUGGUUCUCCGCGAAAUCUAUUUAGGUAGAGCGUUGUGUGAUUGUAACUGAAGGUAGAGCACUGGAUGAGUCGUGGGGGCUGGAAAGCUUACNGCUCUCAACCAAACUCCGAAUGUCAGUUAUUNCAGCACAGCAGACAGACUGUGGGUGCUAACAUCCAUGGUCAAAAGGGAAACAACCCAGAUCACAAUCUAAGGUCCCUAAGUUAUGGCUAAGUGUGUAAGGAAGUAGAAAAACUAAGACAGCUAGGAGGUGGGCCUACCGGCAGCCAUCCUUUAAAGAAAGCGUUAUAGCUCACUAGUCUAAAUUAUGUUCUUUUGCGCCGACAAUGUAACGGGGCUAAAGCCAUACACCGAAGAUGUGAACUUGCAUUAAUAUUUUUGCAAGUGGUAGCGGAGCGUUCCGUAAGCCCGUGAAGGCAAGUUGUGAAUCUUGCUGGAGGUAUCGGAAGUGAGAAUGCUGACAUNAGUAGCGAUAAAGAGUGUGAGAAACACUCUCGCCGAAAGUCCAAGGUUUCCUGCGUAAAGCUAAUCUGCGCAGGGUUAGUCGGCCCCUAAGGCGAGGCUGAAAGGCGUAGUCGAUGGGAAUCAGGUUAAUAUUCCUGAACCUGGAGGUGUGUGACGGAGCUUUNAAUNGAUCNGUGCUUANUUGGAUUGCANUGGUCUUNAAAAGCUUCCAGGAAAUAGCCCCUCNAUAAAGACCGUACCCUAAACCGACACAGGUGGACAGGUAUAACAAUACUAAGGCGCUUGAGAGAACGAUGCUGAAGGAACUAGGCAAAUUNCAUCUGUAACUUNGGGAGAAAGAUGACCUANUNUUGGGCAACCAGNGNUAGGUGGCACAUAAUUGNGGGAAGCGACUGUUUAUUAAAAACACAGGGCUCUGCAAAGUCAAUAGACGAAGUAUAGGGUCUGACGCCUGCCCGGUGCUGGAAGAUUAAGAGGAGGAGUGCAAGCUCUGAAUUGAAGUCCCAGUAAACGGCGGCCGUAACUAUGACGGUCUUAAGGUAGCGAAAUUCCUUGUCGGGUAAGUUCCGACCUGCAUGAAUGGCGUAACGACUUCCUCACUGUCUCCAGUAUCGACUCAGCGAAAUUGGAUUCUCCGUUAAGAUACGGAGUUCCCGCGGUUAGACGGAUAGACCCCGUGAACCUUUACUAUAGCUUUGUACUGAUAACAGACGGCAAGUAUCUAGGAUAGGUGGAAGACUAGGAAGUGCGAACGCCAGUUUGCAUGGAGUCGCCCUUGGAAUACCACCUACUUGUUUUUUGUUAUCUAACUGAGGACCUUGAAUC
RNAcentral lists this ribosomal RNA (1313 nucleotides) under metagenome. RNAcentral describes it as "bacterial LSU rRNA". It matches the Rfam family "Bacterial large subunit ribosomal RNA", at positions 828 to 2240 of the family's 2925-position model. The record is from RNAcentral.